Aquila chrysaetos chrysaetos is the source of this 1005-nucleotide long non-coding RNA. RefSeq lists it as uncharacterized. The transcript has 2 exons. The record is from RefSeq and is a predicted model, not a curated record. NCBI's taxonomy places the organism in Eukaryota, Metazoa, Chordata, Aves, Accipitriformes, Accipitridae.
UCCAGCAGAAGAUCCUCAGUUGACACUGACCCAUUUUAAUCUGCAGCGCAGGUCCCAUAGGCUGCUCUGAGCCUCUGCCACAAUCUCACCGAAAGGAUAACUGAAAAAGGAAUUGGCUUUUUGCUGAACUGACUGCUUGGAAAUCUAUUUUCCAGUGGUGUUUUUAUCAGACUAUAGGGCUGGCCUCUCUAAUUCACGGUGCAGCGCACUGACCAUUUCUCCCAUUUGCACAAAUUUACAUCUCAGAAACCAUCCUACUCGGUGCACGUCUAUCCUUGAAUUACAACAUAAAGGAAUAUUUUUCACUGCCUCCUGAACAAAUAGUGUAACAAAAGUGAAAAAUAUUUUCCUUCCCCGCAGGGGUGUGAGCCCUGGGACUCAUAACAAGCUCGACAAGCAGUCAUACUCAUAUCAGGAGGAGAUGUUGCUCACGGGCACGAGUGCUGCUUCUCCUGGGCCUGGAGUGACUCCCAUCAAGAUCACCCUUCUCUCAGUACUCUACAUCCAGACCUUGUUGACUCCCCACUCCCUGGUUGAGACAUAUUUUGAAAUUGUUCCCCAUGAAAGACAGUGCAGAAAAGAAGAAUACAGGAAAUGAAAAUCCAAGUUUAAAGGAAGGAAAUCUCUUCUGGAAGUUGUGUAACUGUUUCUGCAAUACAUGUGGAUCUUGCUGUCAGUCACUUGCUUCUGACAUACCUGAGCUUAGAGCUUUGCUCUGCUCCAGUUAAAGGAUUUGGACAUCUGUGUGACUUGCAUCAAAUCCUAAUGGGCAUUUUAUUUGGGAAAAAAAAUUUAACACAAAGCCAAACCAAAGCAGAAAACCUGUAGUUUCAGAAGGGGGGUUAUGUUUAAAACUGGCAAUAGCAGCAAGCAUGGGUUGUUUGGGGUGGGGGAGGAUUGCUCUAAUGAAUUCUCCAUCGUAGAAAAUGGGUGUUCACUGUGCAGUUUGCUGUUCUUUGUUAAGUAAGUAAGUCCUUUGGUUCAUAAUUAAACACAGUGCUAUGA